RNAcentral lists this ribosomal RNA (252 nucleotides) under uncultured bacterium. RNAcentral describes it as "partial 16S ribosomal RNA". It matches the Rfam family "Bacterial small subunit ribosomal RNA", at positions 524 to 776 of the family's 1533-position model. The record is from RNAcentral.
UACGGAGGGUGCAAGCGUUGUCCGGAUUUAUUGGGUUUAAAGGGUGCGUAGGCGGCUUUUUAAGUCAGUGGUGAAAUACAGCAGCUCAACUGUUGAGGUGCCAUUGAUACUGAGAGGCUUGAGUACAGAUGAGGUAGGCGGAAUUUAUGGUGUAGCGGUGAAAUGCAUAGAUACCAUAAAGAACACCGAUUGCGAAGGCAGCUUACUAGCUGUAACUGACGCUGAGGCACGAAAGCGUGGGGAGCGAACAGG